Molecule: ribosomal RNA, 1480 nt
Filed under: metagenome
Description: bacterial SSU rRNA
Rfam family: Bacterial small subunit ribosomal RNA
Source: RNAcentral
AGAGUUUGAUCCUGGCUCAGAACGAACGCUGGCGGCGCGUUUUAAGCAUGCAAGUCGAUCGGCAGCAUGCCCUUCGGGGUGAUGGCGAGAGGCGGACGGGUGAGUAACACGUAGAUUAUCUGCCCUUUAGUUUGGGAUAACACCUGGAAACAGAUGCUAAUACCGAAUAUUCUGGAAACAGGAAAGCCUUCGGGCGCUAGAGGAGGAGUCCGCGUCCCAUUAGUUAGUUGGUGAGGUAAAGGCUCACCAAGACUUCGAUGGGUAGCCGGCCUAAGAGGGUGACCGGUCACAUUGGGACUGAGACACGGCCCAAACUCCUACGGGAGGCAGCAGCUAAGAAUAUUCCGCAAUGGACGAAAGUCUGACGGAGCGACGCCGCGUGGAGGAUGAAGGCCCUAUCGGGUUGUAAACUUCUUUUCUUGUGGAAGAAAGUAUCACAUGGGUGAUAUAUGACGGUACAUGAGGAAUAAGCCCCGGCUAAUUACGUGCCAGCAGCCGCGGUAAUACGUAAGGGGCGAGCGUUGUUCGGAAUCAUUGGGCGUAAAGGGUGCGUAGGCGGAGUGCUAAGUGAGGUGUGAAAAUCCAGAGCUCAACUUUGGACUUGCGCUUCAAACUGGCAUUCUUGAGUUUAGGAGAGGAAAACGGAAUUCCUGGUGUAGGGGUGAAAUCUAUAGAGAUCAGGAAGAACACCGAAGGCGAAGGCAGUUUUCUGGCCUAUAACUGACGCUGAAGCACGAAAGCUAGGGGAGCGAACGGGAUUAGAUACCCCGGUAGUCCUAGCCGUAAACGUUGCUUACUAGGUGUAUGUAGCAUAGACUACAUGUGCCGGAGCUAACGCGUUAAGUAAGCCGCCUGGGGAGUAUGCACGCAAGUGUGAAACUCAAAGGAAUUGACGGGGGCCCGCACAAGCGGUGGAGCAUGUGGUUUAAUUCGAAAAUACGCGAGAAACCUUACCUGGGUUUGACAUGUGCUUGAAUUACUAAGAAAUUAGUAAGCCUUUCGGGGCAAGUACACAGGUGCUGCAUGGCUGUCGUCAGCUCGUGUCGUGAGAUGUUGGGUUAAGUCCCGCAACGAGCACAACCCCUAUGUUCUGUUGCCAUCAGGUAAUGCUGGGAACUCGGAACAAACUGCCGGCGAUAAACCGGAGGAAGGUGGGGAUGACGUCAAGUCCUCAUGGCCCUUAUGUCCAGGGCUACACACGUGCUACAAUGGUUGGUACAGAGGGUAGCGAAAUCGCGAGGUGGAGCUAAUCUCAAAAAAACCAGCCACAGUACAGAUUGAAGUCUGAAACUCGACUUCAUGAAGGCGGAAUCGCUAGUAAUCGCAGAUCAGCAUGCUGCGGUGAAUACGUUCCCGGGCCUUGUACACACCGCCCGUCACACCACCCGAGUUGGUUCAACCCGAAGUUGCUGUUUCAACCUGCAAAGGAGAUAGGUGCCGAAGGUCGGGCUGAUAAGGGGGGUGAAGUCGAAACAAGGUA